This 72-nucleotide transfer RNA is filed under the name Charadrius vociferus (killdeer). It matches the Rfam family "tRNA". From Rfam's summary of the family: Transfer RNA (tRNA) molecules are approximately 80 nucleotides in length. Their secondary structure includes four short double-helical elements and three loops (D, anti-codon, and T loops). Lineage: Eukaryota; Metazoa; Chordata; Aves; Charadriiformes; Charadriidae. The record is from Rfam by way of RNAcentral.
GGCUCGUUGGUAUAAAGGCAUGAUUGUUGCUUAGGGUGCAAGAGGUUCUGGGUUCAACUCCCAGAUGAGCCC